This 497-nucleotide ribosomal RNA is filed under the name uncultured bacterium. Its description in RNAcentral is "partial 16S ribosomal RNA". It matches the Rfam family "Bacterial small subunit ribosomal RNA", at positions 28 to 507 of the family's 1533-position model. The record is from RNAcentral.
GAUGAACGCUGGCGGCGUGCCUAAUACAUGCAAGUCGAGCGAACAGACGAGGAGCUUGCUCCUUUGACGUUAGCGGCGGACGGGUGAGUAACACGUAGGUAACCUACCUAUAAGACUGGGAUAACUUCGGGAAACCGGAGCUAAUACCGGAUAAUAUUUCGAACCGCAUGGUUCGAUAGUGAAAGAUGGCUUUGCUAUCACUUAUAGAUGGACCUGCGCCGUAUUAGCUAGUUGGUAAGGUAACGGCUUACCAAGGCAACGAUACGUAGCCGACCUGAGAGGGUGAUCGGCCACACUGGAACUGAGACACGGUCCAGACUCCUACGGGAGGCAGCAGUAGGGAAUCUUCCGCAAAGGGCGAAGGCCUGACGGAGCAACGCCGCGUGAGUGAUGAAGGUCUUCGGAUCGUAAAACUCUGUUAUUAGGGAAGAACAAACGUGUAAGUAACUGUGCACGUCUUGACGGUACCUAAUCAGAAAGCCACGGCUAACUACGUG